Molecule: ribosomal RNA, 301 nt
Filed under: uncultured bacterium
Lineage: Bacteria
Description: partial 16S ribosomal RNA
Rfam family: Bacterial small subunit ribosomal RNA
Source: RNAcentral
CAGCAGCCGCGGUAAUACGUAGGGUGCGAGCGUUAAUCGGAAUUACUGGGCGUAAAGCGUGCGCAGGCGGUUGUGUAAGACAGGUGUGAAAUCCCCGGGUUUAUCCUGGGAACUGCAUUUGUGACUGGCGGGCUAGAGUAUGGCAGAGGGGGGUAGAAUUCCACGUGUAGCAGUGAAAUGCGUAGAGAUGUGGAGGAAUACCGAUGGCGAAGGCAGCCCCCUGGGCCAAUACUGACGCUCAUGCACGAAAGCGUGGGGAGCAAACAGGAUUAGAUACCCCUGUAGUCCCUGUCUCUUAUAC